GACGAAUCGUGCGAACGUUGUUCGGAAUCACUGGGCUUAAAGGGCGCGUAGGCGGUAGGCCAAGUCCGUGGAGAAAUCCUUCGGCUCAACCGGAGAAUGGCCUCGGAUACUGGUCUUCUAGAGGGAGGUAGGGGCAGCGGGAACUGCCAGUGGAGCGGUGAAAUGCGUUGAUAUUGGCAGGAACGCCGGUGGCGAAAGCGCGCUGCGGGACCUCUUUUGACGCUGAGGCGCGAAAGCUAGGGGAGCAAACGGG
This 253-nucleotide ribosomal RNA is filed under the name uncultured bacterium. RNAcentral describes it as "partial 16S ribosomal RNA". It matches the Rfam family "Bacterial small subunit ribosomal RNA", at positions 524 to 776 of the family's 1533-position model. The record is from RNAcentral.